UACGAAGGGUGCAAGCGUUACUCGGAAUUACUGGGCGUAAAGCGUGCGUAGGUGGUUCGUUAAGUCUGAUGUGAAAGCCCUGGGCUCAACCUGGGAAUUGCAUUGGAUACUGGCGGGCUAGAGUACGGUAGAGGGUAGUGGAAUUCCUGGUGUAGCAGUGAAAUGCGUAGAGAUCAGGAGGAACACCCGUGGCGAAGGCGACUACCUGGACCAGUACUGACACUGAGGCACGAAAGCGUGGGGAGCGAAC
RNAcentral lists this ribosomal RNA (250 nucleotides) under uncultured bacterium. RNAcentral's name for it is "partial 16S ribosomal RNA". It matches the Rfam family "Bacterial small subunit ribosomal RNA", at positions 524 to 773 of the family's 1533-position model. The record is from RNAcentral.